This 65-nucleotide transfer RNA is filed under the name Panaorus albomaculatus. RNAcentral's name for it is "tRNA-Ile". The record is from RNAcentral. Lineage: Eukaryota; Metazoa; Arthropoda; Insecta; Hemiptera; Rhyparochromidae.
AAUAAGGUGCCUGAGAAAAGGAAUAUCUUGAUAGGAUGGAUUAUGUAAUUUAUUUACCCUUAUUA